GACGAACGCUGGCGGCGUGCUUAACACAUGCAAGUCGAACGAUGAAGCUAGAGCUUGCUCUGGUGGAUUAGUGGCGAACGGGUGAGUAACACGUGAGUAACCUGCCCCGAACUCUGGGAUAACUGCUGGAAACGGUAGCUAAUACCGGAUAUGACCAAUGAAGGCAUCUUCUGUUGGUGGAAAGAAUUUCGGUUCGGGAUGGACUCGCGGCCUAUCAGCUUGUUGGUGAGGUAACGGCUCACCAAGGCGACGACGGGUAGCCGGCCUGAGAGGGUGAUCGGCCUCACUGGGACUGAGACACGGCCCAGACCCCUACGGGAGGCAGCAGUGGGGAAUAUUGCACAAUGGGCGCAAGCCUGAUGCAGCAACGCCGCGUGAGGGACGACGGCCUUCGGGUUGUAAACCUCUUUUAGUAGGGAAGAAGCGAAAGUGACGGUACCUGCAGAAAAAGCACCGGCUAACUACGUGCCAGCCGCCGCCGUAA
RNAcentral lists this ribosomal RNA (484 nucleotides) under uncultured bacterium. Its description in RNAcentral is "partial 16S ribosomal RNA". It matches the Rfam family "Bacterial small subunit ribosomal RNA", at positions 28 to 523 of the family's 1533-position model. The record is from RNAcentral.